GGCAGCAGUCGAGAAAACUUCACAAUGUGCGAAAGCACGAUGAGGGAAUCCCAAGUGCUUGCACGUAAGUGUAAGCUGUUUCUCUGUCUAAAACGCAGAGAGAGUAAGGGCUGGGUAAGACGGGUGCCAGCCGCCGCGGUAAUACCUGCAGCUCGAGUGGUGACCGCUAUUAUUGGGCCUAAAACGUCCGUAGCCGGUUUAAUAAAUGCCUGGGUAAAUCGGACCGCUUAACGGUUCGAAUUCCGGGUAGACUGUUAAACUUGAGACCGGGAGAAGUUAGAGGUACUCCUGGGGUAGAGGUGAAAUUCUGUAAUCCUAGGGGGACCACCAGUGGCGAAGGCGUCUAACUAGAACGGGUCUGACGGUGAGGGACGAAGCCCUGGGGCGCAAAAC
This 393-nucleotide ribosomal RNA is filed under the name uncultured microorganism. RNAcentral's name for it is "bacterial SSU rRNA". It matches the Rfam family "Archaeal small subunit ribosomal RNA", at positions 331 to 725 of the family's 1478-position model. The record is from RNAcentral.